CGCGAGGCAACGGGAGAGACAUCUCUCUCAGUCCGACAUCGUCCCGGGGGUCAUCCCUUCACCUGUCCCUUCCUCAGGCGUCCCGGGGCCCGCGGGCCGUCCCCUCUCCAGGGAGUCGAUCCUUCUUCCCCUGAGGCGGCCGGGUUACCCCCCCCCCCCCAGACGGCGCCCUGCCUUGAGGGAGUCCUGCUCCUCGCUACCCCUUCCUGGCCUCGGCCUCCCACAAUGCCGGGCGGGCGCCCGCCCCUCGCCCCUCGCCCUUUGCUCGCUAGCCCCCCGGGACACGUGGCCCGGCCCCUUUCCCGUGGGUGCUCGCUUUUCUCUGGCGUCCCGACUCUUUGGGACCCCGGAGCGCCCGAGCCUCCACGCCCCCUGGUCCCCGCCGUUCCGGAAGAGAACCUGAGUUGUCCCAGAGGACAGCCUUUGGAGAGCUGCCCUGUCUGGGGACUGGCCCCUCCCCGGGCGCAGAGAAGCGCCCCCCCCACUCCCAAGUGACCUUGUGUCCCCGAGCACCGGCCGCCUCCCCUGACCCUCCCGGCGCCUCUCCACUCGAACCCCCAGCCCCAGGCACUCCUGGCUCGGUCCAGGCUAGCUUGUCCCCUCCCCAUGCACCAGCCUGCCCUCGGGGGCGUCGCUCCCUCGUCUUGGGGGCUCCUGCUGGGGAGCCGGCUCACGGGCUGUCCC
RNAcentral lists this long non-coding RNA (684 nucleotides) under Rattus norvegicus (Norway rat). RNAcentral describes it as "long non-coding RNA NONRATT020907". Lineage: Eukaryota; Metazoa; Chordata; Mammalia; Rodentia; Muridae. The record is from RNAcentral.